UACAGAGGUCUCAAGCGUUGUUCGGAUUCAUUGGGCGUAAAGGGUGCGUAGGCGGCGCGGUAAGUCGGGUGUGAAAUCUUGGAGCUUAACUCCGAAACUGCAUUCGAUACUGCCGUGCUUGAGGACUGGAGAGGAGACUGGAAUUCCUGGUGUAGCAGUGAAAUGCGUAGAUAUCAGGAGGAAUACCGAUGGCGAAGGCAGGUCUCUGGGCUGACACUGACGCUCAUGCACGAAAGCGUGGGGAGCAAACAGG
Molecule: ribosomal RNA, 253 nt
Filed under: uncultured bacterium
Lineage: Bacteria
Description: partial 16S ribosomal RNA
Rfam family: Bacterial small subunit ribosomal RNA
Source: RNAcentral